UCCCGGCUAGCUCAGUCGGUAGAGCGUCAGACUCUUAUCCCCAAGAGCCUCUGUGAUCAUCACAGACCUUUAUCUGAAUGUCGUGGGUUCGAGCCCCACGUUGGGAG
This 107-nucleotide transfer RNA is filed under the name Pseudozyma flocculosa. It matches the Rfam family "tRNA". From Rfam's summary of the family: Transfer RNA (tRNA) molecules are approximately 80 nucleotides in length. Their secondary structure includes four short double-helical elements and three loops (D, anti-codon, and T loops). Lineage: Eukaryota; Fungi; Basidiomycota; Ustilaginomycetes; Ustilaginales; Ustilaginaceae. The record is from Rfam by way of RNAcentral. RNAcentral also lists the same sequence under 1 other name.